GCCAAUAGAACCUUCCUUUUUUUUUUUUUUUCCUUUAUUUUUUUUACCCCCCACUUCUUACUAGAGAAAUUCGUGUUGCCUCAGCAAUUAAGGAGAAGAGCCAGCAUCUAGGGUUCCAGGCUGUGAGGGGAAGUAGCAACUUGUACCAGCAGCCACAGUCUUCAGCUGUUCUUGCAGGAGAUGGAGGGAGGCUUCAUUGAGUCUUCACAAAGGGAAGAAUUUUCAAAUUAAUAAUUAGCACCAUGAAACUUUUACAGUACUGCUGCUUUCAAGCAAGGGAAUCUCC
Molecule: long non-coding RNA, 286 nt
Filed under: Parus major (Great Tit)
Lineage: Eukaryota; Metazoa; Chordata; Aves; Passeriformes; Paridae
Description: lncRNA (ENSPMJG00000011397.1)
Source: RNAcentral